ACGGAAGGCAGCAGUGGGGAAUAUUGGACAAUGGGGGAAACCCUGAUCCAGCGACGCCGCGUGAGUGAAGAAGUAUUUCGGUAUGUAAAGCUCUAUCAGCAAGGAAGAAAAUGACGGUACUUGACUAAGAAGCUCCGGCUAAAUACGUGCCAGCAGCCGCGGUAAUACGUAUGGAGCAAGCGUUAUCCGGAUUUACUGGGUGUAAAGGGAGCGUAGACGGUAAAGCAAGUCUGAAGUGAAAUCCCGGGGCUCAACCCCGGAACUGCUUUGGAAACUGUUUAACUAGAGUGCAGGAGAGGUAAGCGGAAUUCCUAGUGUAGCGGUGAAAUACGUAGAUAUUAGGAGGAACACCAGUGGCGAAGGCGGCUUACUGGACUGUAACUGACGUUGAGGCUCGAAAGCGUGGGGAGCAAACAGGAUUAGAUACCCUGGUA
Molecule: ribosomal RNA, 434 nt
Filed under: uncultured Lachnospiraceae bacterium
Lineage: Bacteria; Bacillati; Bacillota; Clostridia; Lachnospirales; Lachnospiraceae
Description: partial 16S ribosomal RNA
Rfam family: Bacterial small subunit ribosomal RNA
Source: RNAcentral